CCUACGGGUGGCAGCAGUGGGGAAUAUUGGACAAUGGGGGAAACCCUGAUCCAGCGACGCCGCGUGAGUGAAGAAGUAUUUCGGUACGUAAAGCUCUAUCAGCAGGAAAGAAAAUGACGGUACCUGACUACGAAGCCCCGUCUAUCUACGUGCAACCAGCGGCGUCAAUACGUAGGGGGCAGGCGUUAGCCGGAUUUACUGGGGGUAAAGGGGGCGUAGAGGGCAGCGCAAGUGUGGAGUGAAAUGCCGGGGCCCAACCCCGGAACUGCUCUGGAAACUGUGAAGCUGGAGUGCAGGAGAGGUAAGCGGAAUUCCUGGUGUAGCGGUGAAAUGCGUAGAUAUCAGGAGGAACACCGGCGGCGAAGGCGGCUUACUGGACUGUAACUGACGUUGAGGCUCGAAGGCGUGGGGAGCAAACAGGAUUAGAUACCCUUGUAGUC
Molecule: ribosomal RNA, 440 nt
Filed under: uncultured bacterium
Lineage: Bacteria
Description: partial 16S ribosomal RNA
Rfam family: Bacterial small subunit ribosomal RNA
Source: RNAcentral